Molecule: ribosomal RNA, 367 nt
Filed under: uncultured soil bacterium
Lineage: Bacteria
Description: bacterial SSU rRNA
Rfam family: Bacterial small subunit ribosomal RNA
Source: RNAcentral
AUUGAACGCUGGCGGCAUGCCUUACACAUGCAAGUCGAGCGCGAAAGGGGGCAACCCCGAGUAGAGCGGCGGACGGGUGAGUAAUACAUCGGAACGUACCCAGUAGUGGGGGACAACCUCGAGAAAUCGAGGCUAAUACCGCAUACGACCCACGGGUGAAAGCGGGGGACUGCAAGGCCUCGCGCUAUUGGAGCGGCCGAUGUCCGAUUAGCUAGUUGGCGGGGUAAGAGCCCACCAAGGCGACGAUCGGUAGCUGGUCUGAGAGGACGACCAGCCACACUGGGACUGAGACACGGCCCAGACUCCUACGGGAGGCAGCAGUGGGGAAUUUUGGACAAUGGGGGCAACCCUGAUCCAGCCAUGCCGC